Molecule: ribosomal RNA, 590 nt
Filed under: uncultured bacterium
Lineage: Bacteria
Description: bacterial SSU rRNA
Rfam family: Bacterial small subunit ribosomal RNA
Source: RNAcentral
ACUCCUACGGGAGGCAGCAGUGGGGAAUAUUGGACAAUGGGGGCAACCCUGAUCCAGCCAUGCCGCGUGUGUGAAGAAGGCUUUCGGGUUGUAAAGCACUUUCAGUGAGGAGGAAAACCGUACGACUAAUACUCGUAUGGCUUGACGUUACUCACAGAAGAAGCACCGGCUAACUCCGUGCCAGCAGCCGCGGUAAUACGUAGGUGGCAAGCGUUAUCCGGAAUUAUUGGGCGUAAAGCGCGCGUAGGCGGUUUCUUAAGUCUGAUGUGAAAGCCCACGGCUCAACCGUGGAGGGUCAUUGGAAACUGGGAAACUUGAGUGCAGAAGAGGAAAGUGGAAUUCCAUGUGUAGCGGUGAAAUGCGCAGAGAUAUGGAGGAACACCAGUGGCGAAGGCGACUUUCUGGUCUGUAACUGACGCUGAUGUGCGAAAGCGUGGGGAUCAAACAGGAUUAGAUACCCUGGUAGUCCACGCCGUAAACGAUGAGUGCUAAGUGUUAGGGGGUUUCCGCCCCUUAGUGCUGCAGCUAACGCGUUAGGCACUCCGCCUGGGGAGUACGACCGCAAGGUUGAAACUGAAAGGAAUUGACGG